GACGAACGCUGGCGGCGUGCCUAAUACAUGCAAGUUGAGCGCUGAAGGUUGGUACUUGUACCAACUGGAUGAGCAGCGGACGGGUGAGUAACGCGUGGGGAAUCUGCCUUUGAGCGGGGGACAACAUUUGGAAACGAAUGCUAAUACCGCAUAAAAACUUUAAACACAAGUUUUAAGUUUGAAAGAUGCAAUUGCAUCACUCAAAGAUGAUCCCGCGUUGUAUUAGCUAGUUGGUGAGGUAAAGGCUCACCAAGGCGAUGAUACAUAGCCGACCUGAGAGGGUGAUCGGCCACAUUGGGACUGAGACACGGCCCAAACUCCUACGGGAGGCAGCAGUAGGGAAUCUUCGGCAAUGGACGAAAGUCUGACCGAGCAACGCCGCGGGAGUGAAGAAGGGUUUCGGAUCGUAAAACUCUGUUGGUAGAGAAGAACGUUGGUGAGAGUGGAAAGCUCAUCAAGUGACGGUAACUACCCAGAAAGGGACGGCUAACUACGUG
Molecule: ribosomal RNA, 497 nt
Filed under: uncultured bacterium
Lineage: Bacteria
Description: partial 16S ribosomal RNA
Rfam family: Bacterial small subunit ribosomal RNA
Source: RNAcentral